AACGAACGCUGGCGGCAUGCCUAACACAUGCAAGUCGAACGAUUGCCUUCGGGUGAUAGUGGCGCACGGGUGCGUAACGCGUGGGAAUCUGCCCUUAGGUUCGGAAUAACAGCUGGAAACGGCUGCUAAUACCGGAUGAUAUCGCGAGAUCAAAGAUUUAUCGCCUGAGGAUGAGCCCGCGUUGGAUUAGGUAGUUGGUGGGGUAAAGGCCUACCAAGCCGACGAUCCAUAGCUGGUCUGAGAGGAUGAUCAGCCACACUGGGACUGAGACACGGCCCAGACUCCUACGGGAGGCAGCAGUGGGGAAUAUUGGACAAUGGGCGCAAGCCUGAUCCAGCAAUGCCGCGUGAGUGAUGAAGGCCCUAGGGUUGUAAAGCUCUUUUACCCGGGAAGACAAUGACUGUACCGGGAGAAUAAGCCCCGGCUAACUCCGUG
Molecule: ribosomal RNA, 435 nt
Filed under: uncultured bacterium
Lineage: Bacteria
Description: partial 16S ribosomal RNA
Rfam family: Bacterial small subunit ribosomal RNA
Source: RNAcentral